This 253-nucleotide ribosomal RNA is filed under the name uncultured bacterium. RNAcentral describes it as "partial 16S ribosomal RNA". It matches the Rfam family "Bacterial small subunit ribosomal RNA", at positions 524 to 776 of the family's 1533-position model. The record is from RNAcentral.
UACGAAGGGUGCAAGCGUUAAUCGGAAUUACUGGGCGUAAAGCGCGCGUAGGUGGUUCAGCAAGUUGGAGGUGAAAUCCCCGGGCUCAACCUGGGAACUGCCUCCAAAACUACUGAGCUAGAGUACGGUAGAGGGUAGUGGAAGUUCCUGUGUAGCGGUGAAAUGCGUAGAUAUAGGAAGGAACACCAGUGGCGAAGGCGACUACCUGGACUGAUACUGACACUGAGGUGCGAAAGCGUGGGGAGCAAACAGG